UGGGUUUGGUUGUUGUACAUAUACCCUUUGUAUAUAUCCCUACUUAAUUACUGAAUGGUCAAGUGCGUCUUUACAAGGUUAUCCAGAAGUUGAAUGUUAUUUCAGUAGUACAUCUUUAAGAUAAGGGGAAUGAUGUUGGUCUAAUCAUAAUGGAAGAAGAUAUCGGGACUUUCAAGCUUGGUAUGUGGAAAGUUUGGUAAUUUUCAUUGGAGCCGUACUGGCUGUAGUGUUCUUCGUUUUCUCAGGGUUUGACAUCUUAAAUGGGAAUGGGAAGUGGAAGGAAAAAUGGUUGAAGAACUAACAUGGUUGGAGGUUUGUUAUGGCUAGCGCUCAGCUGCAUUCUUCUUCUAGUGUUGUCCGCUGACAGUUUAAGCAAGGAGUUGAGGUUCUGUGUAGGUGUUUCAUAGAGAUACCCUGUACAUGUAGUAGCAUGAAGUUAGUUAAUUUUUCACAUUGUGUAGUUAGAUAUCUGUAGGUGGUUUGCAUGUGUCCUUUCUAGUGUGCAUUGAAUUGGUUAGCAGUUUCCUUUUGCUUCCCCUUUGCCACUCUUACUUAAGUUCUGACUUCCUCUCUCACUUCCUCUGAACUUUCUGGUGCUUUGCAAGGGCAUCAAGUUCUCUUCGCCACUUUCCUGUUUUUUUUGAAGGAAAUUGUUUGCGACGGUGAACUCUAAACUCUCAUGCUCUUCUCUCUUACAAAGUCUCCUAUCUAAUGCAUUCUAUAGUAUCGGUCUGAAAUAGAGUGGUCAAACUUCCAUAUUCUGGAGUUCUUUGUUUUGGUAUGACAUCUUUUCCCUUCUCUCGAUUAGUGGUAGCAGUUGCAUCAUGUAGUAUCAGUCGAAGUCGAAUUGUUAGGUGAGCUCAUUGCAGUGUAUCAAAUUAUGACAUCCGUGCUGAUGACUUUGUCGAGGUGCAGUGCUUAGUUGCUACUUUUGCUGAAGAUUAUUAGAAGAUGUUUGAAGAGAAGGGAAAUUAUUCUAUCAGGAAAGGAAUGCUAUUAGUUUUACCUUUUACCUAUUUCUAUUGUAAGCAACAGUUUGAACUAUCAAGUGGAACAUAACUAUCUUUUUUGUGUAUUUUCUUGUACAACAUCAAUAUGUAGAGUUUACCUCAGUGUUAUAUGAACUUAAUGUAUUUUUAACCAUAUCAAUCUGUUUUCAGUGUUA
Molecule: long non-coding RNA, 1165 nt
Organism: Asparagus officinalis (garden asparagus)
Lineage: Eukaryota; Viridiplantae; Streptophyta; Magnoliopsida; Asparagales; Asparagaceae
Exons: 2
Source: RefSeq, a predicted model, not a curated record